GGGUCAGUAGGUUGGUCGUGCCACCGGUACGUACUGGUCUCACUGACUCCUCCAUCCUGAAGAACCGUAAUGCCAUUAAUUUGGUGUUGCGGGGAAACAGGACUGUUACUUUGAAAAAAUUAGAGUGUUUAAAGCAAGCUAACGCUUGAAUACAUUAGCAUGGAAUAAUGAAAUAGGACGAUCGAUCCUAUUUUGUUGGUUUCUAGGAUUGACGUA
RNAcentral lists this ribosomal RNA (216 nucleotides) under Glomeromycotina sp. Its description in RNAcentral is "partial small subunit ribosomal RNA". The stretch from base 75 to 216 matches the Rfam family "Eukaryotic small subunit ribosomal RNA", at positions 721 to 864 of the family's 1831-position model. Lineage: Eukaryota; Fungi; Glomeromycota. The record is from RNAcentral.